UACGGAGGGUGCAAGCGUUAUCCGGAUUCACUGGGUUUAAAGGGUGCGUAGGCGGCCCGGUAAGUCCGCUGUAAAAGUCCAGGGCUCAACCCUGGAAAGCCGGUGGAUACUGUCGGGCUAGAGUCCGGAAGAGGCGAGUGGAAUUCCUGGUGUAGCGGUGGAAUGCGCAGAUAUCAGGAAGAACACCCGUGGCGAAGGCGGCUCUCUGGUACGGAACUGACGCUGAGACGCGAAAGCGUGGGGAGCGAACAGG
Molecule: ribosomal RNA, 253 nt
Filed under: uncultured bacterium
Lineage: Bacteria
Description: partial 16S ribosomal RNA
Rfam family: Bacterial small subunit ribosomal RNA
Source: RNAcentral